UACGUAGGGAGCAAGCGUUGUCCGGAUUUACUGGGCGUAAAGGGCGCGUAGGCGGCGCGGUAAGUCACUUGUGAAAUCUCUGAGCUUAACUCAGAACGGCCAAGUGAUACUGCAGUGCUAGAGUGCAGAAGGGGCAAUCGGAAUUCUUGGUGUAGCGGUGAAAUGCGCAGAUAUCAGGAAGAACACCCGUGGCGAAGGCGGCUUUCUGGGACGGUACUGACGCUGAGAAGCGAAAGCAUGGGGAGCGAACAGG
This 253-nucleotide ribosomal RNA is filed under the name uncultured bacterium. Its description in RNAcentral is "partial 16S ribosomal RNA". It matches the Rfam family "Bacterial small subunit ribosomal RNA", at positions 524 to 776 of the family's 1533-position model. The record is from RNAcentral.